Molecule: unclassified non-coding RNA, 329 nt
Filed under: soil metagenome
Description: partial contains 5.8S ribosomal RNA, internal transcribed spacer 2, and large subunit ribosomal RNA
Rfam family: 5.8S ribosomal RNA (bases 1-120)
Source: RNAcentral
GAUGAAGAACGCAGUGAAAUGCGAUAAGUAAUGUGAAUUGCAGAAUUCAGUGAAUCAUCGAAUCUUUGAACGCACAUUGCGCCCCCUGGUAUUCCGGGGGGCAUGCCUGUCCGAGCGUCAUUACAACCCUCAAGCUCAGCUUGGUGUUGGGCCCCGCCGCCCCGGCGGGCCCUAAAGUCAGUGGCGGUGCCGUCCGGCUCCGAGCGUAGUAAUUCUUCUCGCUCUGGAGGUCCGGUCGUGUGCUCGCCAGCAACCCCCAAUUUUUUUCAGGUUGACCUCGGAUCAGGUAGGGAUACCCGUUGAACUUAAGCAUAUCAAUAAGCGGAGGA